Long non-coding RNA from Hylaeus anthracinus, 1023 nucleotides. RefSeq lists it as uncharacterized. The record is from RefSeq and is a predicted model, not a curated record. The transcript is spliced from 3 exons. NCBI's taxonomy places the organism in Eukaryota, Metazoa, Arthropoda, Insecta, Hymenoptera, Colletidae.
UUAUGGAAGAGAUGUUCCAUUCUAACCUAACUUGAAACUUCUUUCAUUAAUAUCUCAUCACGCCUGCAAUAUUUUCUAAAUUGAAACGCAUUUUUCUGAUGUAAAUCGCAUAUAAGCUUUCGAAUAAAACCAAAAUCAAUCAAAUCGUCGUUUUUCGUCAACACUUAGCCAAUAGGAGACAAUGUCGUUCGUCGAUUCGUCGACUCUCUGAAUCAGUCAGCAAGGCUCGUCGGCCGCCAUAAGAAAUACUUGUGUAUAUCGUUUGACAAAUAUAGGUUAUAGUGAAGAAUAGCUGGAUGUAGAUUAUUAAAACAGAAGAAAAAAAUUUCACCAGAUACUGCAAGAAAUAAUGCACAAGAGACAGUAAUGUUGCUUUGUAAUACGUGUGUGCACGCAGUAAAACUAUAAUAGUAGUAUUAGCAGUGCGACAUAUUUUAUUAUAUUUCACAACAAGAAGAGGAGCAUAAACAUCAUCAAUAAAAGAUCUUUGAUUGAUCUAAGCAGCUACAUUCAUUCCAAUAAGAGGAAACUAAAGGAUGAAUUGCUUAUUUCAUGAAGUAAAUAAUUUGCUGACAAAGCAACAAUAGUUUGGUGCUCUUCAAAAAUGGGAGCUGCUGCUGCGAAAUUCUAGUAUUUUAUCUGAAGGAAGGAUAUUUGGUAGUAAUUAUUAGAAUACCACAAGAAGAAUCGUGCAAUUAUUACAGGUAAUACGAUAAAGUUUGACAGGUAUAGUGAAAUUGGUCGGUUGAAAUAUACUACGAUCUGACAGAGUGUGCAACGGAAGGAAUUAAGUGAGCUAUACAUAAUGUUUGUAUGAAAAUUAUGAUUUCUAUUUUUAUUUUAAGUUCUGCGUUAAUUUGAAACUAAAAUAUGGUUUGUAUGUGUUACAGAUAAAUUGAAGCAUAAGAUGAUGAUGAGCAGUGUGCAUAACAAAUUUGCUGGUAUUUGUAUUAAUUCAUGAAUUGAAUGAAUAAAUGUUUGUAAUUAAUAAAUUAAUGUCAUAUGAAAUAUAUAUAUACCCAC